GCUCUUGGGCCCUGUGGACAAAGGGCACGAUGUGACCUUCUACAAGACGUGGUACCGCAGCUCGAGGGGCGAGGUGCAGACCUGCUCAGAGCGCCGGCCCAUCCGCAACCUCACGUUCCAGGACCUUCACCUGCACCAUGGAGGCCACCAGGCUGCCAACACCAGCCACGACCUGGCUCAGCGCCACGGGCUGGAGUCGGCCUCUGACCACCAUGGCAACUUCUCCAUCACCAUGCGCAACCUGACCCUGCUGGAUAGCGGCCUCUACUGCUGUCUGGUGGUGGAGAUCAGGCACCACCACUCGGAGCACAGGGUCCACGGUGCCAUGGAGCUGCAGGUGCAGACAGGCAAAGAUGCACCAUCCAACUGCGUGGUGUACCCAUCCUCCUCCCAGGAGAGUGAAAGUAAGGGACCAUCCUCUUGCCCCUUUUGGGUUCUCUGUUCUCUUCUGUCCUCAUCCUGUACCCAGACCCUGUUUGGAACUCUGGCCUCAUCACCCCAAGCCCUCAGAACCCCCCGGUCCUCCUCCUCUGCUGCUGCACAUCCCUUCUGCUUCCUCCUUUGUGCAGUCCCCAGAAGCCCACUCCCCUUCCAUCUGCUCUGGAGUCUCUGCUCCUCUUGACUCUCUGGGGUGGCUGUGCCUUGGCAGUGACCUUUGGCCAGGGGAAGUGCCUCAGGACAGGCACUGGGUGGCCCAGGCAGCUAAGUGCCGCCCUGCCCACCAGCCCCCUAUGGCUUGGGAAGGCUGGGGGUCCUCUUGGCCUAGAAUUCAACUACUUCAGAUUUC
This 787-nucleotide small RNA is filed under the name Pongo abelii (Sumatran orangutan). RNAcentral's name for it is "processed transcript". The record is from RNAcentral. Lineage: Eukaryota; Metazoa; Chordata; Mammalia; Primates; Hominidae.